GGAAGGGAAGAAAAGAAGAGAUUUCGAUCAAAGCUGGCCAUUAUGCUCUACGCCUGUUAUUCUAGCGCUUGAGGAAAGAGUCUCAAAUCCAAGGCCAGCCUUGACCCUCCUCUAUCAAGUCUUGGUGGGUGGUUCCAGCUUUAUAUAGCAGUCCUCUUAUCUCGGAUUCCAUGAAAAUUCCAGAGAGAAACAAUACAUAUGGUUAAAUAGCACCGUUCUGGGUAGUGUGGGGAAGCCUUCUUCUGGGUAGUGUGGGGAAGCCUUCGCAGUUCUAUUCCAUCCUUCCUGAGCCUUCAUCCAGCCUGUCCGUGCUGUAGGUGACUCAGUCACUUAGCACCAGGCUGCUCUUACAUGGCUGUCUAGAUAGUGUAGCACUUAUGUUCUGAAACCUGACUGGCAGAUUCAACAGUAGAAAUGGUGAGAAUUUGGAAAUGCUGAGGAGAAGACAUAAAAAGUCUUCCUUCAGUCAAAGGUGAAAUUUCUUGCCUUUAACAGAGAAAACAAACAAACGAAACACCAUGUGCUGAAAUUGCUAUGGUUUCUGGUAAGGCUAACUCAGGUCUCACUCACGUCACAAAGACUGUGUACCACUCCUUCUCUCUAUGUAGAGAGAAGACCUUGAAUUUUGAUCCUCCAUCUCCAUCCAAGUGCUGGGACUGCAUGUGUGCACUGCCGUGCUCAGUCUAUUUGACGCUGUGGGUUGAACCCAGGGCUUUUGUGCAUUCUGUGUCAGCAGUCCAGGGGGACUGCUUACAGGAGGAAGUACACUACUUCCUCCAGUCCUUUCCUUUCAAAUUAUUGGAUGCCUUUCAUGGGGUGCUCCAAGGAGGCAGUGAUAUGUUGACCUCCUCACAGCUGUAUCUUGGCACCUAGAAUGACAUAAUGCUAAAUAAAUCUGUAGGAUCUGAAUGACCGGAUAAAUGAUGCCCACCCAUCACCAAAGGUAAGUUUGGAAACUGUGACCACAAAGCCACUUGAGUGGUGUUUUUAAGCCUAUAUUAACUUCUUCGCUCCUGGAGUCGUUCAGAUGUAUAACGCAAAAGCUCUUUUCUCCCCCUCUUCCUUUAAAUGAAAACUUCUGGGCAGAAGUUAGAUGUGUGGUUGUGGGUGCUCUGAGGGAGUGGGGAUAAACACAAGCACUACAGGAGAGAGUACUCCAGUGAGAUUCGUUAAAUAUGGUGGGAACAUCUAUUCCACUGGGUGACUGAUGACAUCUGUAGGCACUACUGCUGCCAGGCCUUGAGUCAGGGAGAGAGGUCGGCUCAACUCUGAUUCAAAGAAUAAAGCAGGGCCUUGAAUUAUAAAGAAACAUCAGAGGUAAGAGAGCUGCUGCCUCUAUUGAGUGGAGAGGAUUGGUGUUGAACAGCGAUUGCCAUGAUUUGAUGUUGAAGAUGGGCAGAUACUGAAGAUGGGAACUAUGUAGUGAACUGACUAGACAGGACUCUCACUCAAAACAGAUUCCACCAGACAGAAAAGGCAGCCCCAGAUCAUGAAGAACCUGGGGGUCUGACUGGAGUCAGACUCUGGAGAGAGUCUUUUUCAGGCUUGUUUGUUGGCUUUUCUUCCAGGAACACAGAGCCACUUACUCUAUUCAGGGCUGCGACUAUCAUGUCUAUGACUGACCGGGACCUUCUCCGAGUAAACACAUUCAGGUUAAGGUGACCUUGCUCUGCAGAGAACAGGUCGCCUUUGGAGGACGUGCUAGGAGAGAACAAGAUGACAAGCAGAAUCACACAACAAGGUGACACCGGCAGCCGUGUAGGCAGGUUAAAGACUCCAGCGUGAUCAUGAGAGGUAUUUUUAGUGGAAACCUUAGCUUCUCCCUGUACAAACCAUGCUAUGAAAUUAAUAACGGGGACAUUCGGAGGGAAGGACACCCUUUCUUCCUCUCUUUAAAUCAGCGAGAGGGGAAAAAGCAAAGCGCCAUAAAAAGGAGGUAAGAUUAAAAGACUCUGAGCUGUAGAUUUAAAAAUUAAAAUCGCAAAAUCUUUUUUUUUGUUGUUGUUUUUGUUUUUUGUUUUUUUCAAGACAGGGUUUCUCUGUGUAACCUUGGCUGUCCUGGAACUCACUCUGUAGACCAGGCUGGCCUUGAACUCAGAAAUCCACCUGCCUCUGCCUCCCAAGUGCUGGGAUUAAAGGCGUGCACCACCACCGCCCGGCAAAAUCACAAAAUCUUAUUUCACAUAAGACAUGUGGCACUCUAUUAUUAAUCAAAAGCAGGCAUUAUGCUAGACCAUUUUGCCCAACCCUAAGCUAAAACAAACAAUAUGAACAUAUUUAAGGUCGGAUAGGUCCCGCUUUGGUAUUCAGUAGAUAGGUAUAUUAAACGUAUGCUGAGUUUGUGAACUUUCCUGUUUGUUUAUGGAAAUGUAACCAUGUCUAAAGUCGAAGAGCAUUGCUGCUUAUGAAAAAAAAUUGCCCAGUAGGAUGUAGGACAUACUUCCUCAUUUACAGAGUAAGUUCUUUUUUUUCUUUUCUUGGUUUUUUUUUUUUUUUUUUUUUUUGAGACAGGGUUUCUCUGUGUAGCCCUGGCUGUCCUGGAACUCACUCUGUAGACCAGGCUGGCCUUGAACUCAGAAAUCCACCUGCCUCUGCCCUCCAAGUGCUGUGAUUAAAGGCGUACGCCACCACUGCCCGGCCAGACUAAGCCCUAAAGACAAAGAUGGGUUCAGAAGAGUGGCGUCAGCUUCAGACACACAGCAAGAACAGACCUUAUGAAGGGACAUGCCACACAUCUCGGAUAGCAGAGCCAGCAUCGGCUGUCUUGUGGAAGAGUCGGUCACGGUCACAUCUGGGAGCGGCACUGUCGUUCCUGUCUCGUAUGUGCUCCUGUGUCACAUGUCACCUGUCAUCUUCAGAACCUGGAGGUUAUGACUUCGAGAAGCCAAGGCCUGCUCAGGUGACGACAGCUUCAGAGAAGCAGGAGCCCACAUGGCAGCCCUCAGGAAAGCGGAGAAACUGACUGCACUGUACUGUGUUGGGCUUGGCCGAGGAUGCGCUAGCUUUCAUUCGCCGCUGAAACCCGCAGAGUUGUCUUAGCUUCGUGCAAAGCUCAAGAACUGUACACCACCCUCGUGCAUCCAGGAGGCCCUUGCUAUAUGCAGAAUAAACAAAUGCAAAGGCUCUGCUGUGAGACUUGCUGAGGGAGGCCACUAGAGGGAAACAAAGGCCCAGAUUUGGACGAUGUCCCCAGAGGGCCGGAACAAGGUGGUGGGCGGUGUACACUGCGCUCUCUAGCUUCUAUUUAUAACACAUCCAGAAUUAAAUACAGCAGCGCCAGGAGGGUGCCUUCGUGAAUACAAACGACUUCAGCGAGGCAGGGAGUGUCAACCAGAGCCUACGGAUCUGCCUAUUUUCUUGAACCUUAAGUCCCCGUCCUCCCUCCUCCCGACCCCCCCCCACCUCCUCCCCACCAUCCUCCCCCCUCCCCCCAACUCCAAGAUGCUACCAGAUUUCUGGGAUUUUUUUUUUUUUUGGUCAUCUUAAGAAAUAAUUUUUACCAUAUGUUGAAUCUACAGUUUGAGCUGGCAGGGCCCUCGGUAGUGUUUGUGGGAACUGCUUAGCAUGUGCCUGCCAUCUGGUGGGUGAGAGGGAAUGGGCAGGUCCAGCCACCCUCUGGCUGCUAGCAUAGGAUUUCCUGGGCAACAGGGAUCAACCUUAGGGCGAAGAAACCCUUACAGUCGGUAUAACUUAGGAGGAGAUCACAGCCUGGCCAAGCUAGUGAGUCGCAGGGGUUCAGGGAAGGGAAGAAUUUUUGAAAUUUUUGCUGCAGUAUUUAUCGAUAGGAAGCGGGGUUUGGAAAGAGGCUUCUUGUGUAUAUGCAAAACGCCUUCCUGGAAGCCUUGGGCUUUCCCUAGUGGGGAUUUCACGGGCAACUCAGACACUUAACAAGGUGCUAGUGGGAACCUCUCAGCCUUAGCGUUAUCAACAGCCACUCCCCCACCCCCAUCCCCCGGCCUGGGGUCAGCUGCCCUGGAAACCGCUCCCUCCGUGCUCCUCCAUGGUAAGGUGGGACUAAUUCUUCGUGUACUUGCUGCUUAAGAUUAGCUUAAGAUUUUGCGCUCUAAAACCUUGGGUCUCAUUGGACUCCUUUGAUCAUUCCAGACUUUUUUUCAAAAAGACCAGGCAAGAAGGAGUUUUAACAAAAAACAUAUUCAUAUCCCCCGCCCCUCUCAUAAGGGAUAGUGGGCUGGGCCGUGACCAAAGAACAACCUCUAACCUCUCUUCUUCCUAAAUAAGACUUUACUACUUUCCCAAAGCUCAUUGAAUGCCCAAGGCGGACAACUUGUCCCUAGUCACCCAUGUUUGCUCUUCCUGAAAGGUUACCCCAUGAGUACAGGCUCCCUACAUGUUCCCAAGCUCCGAGUAAUGAACUAAGGAAAUGACCCCUGAAUGUAUAGUCAAAGCAGGCUCUAGGCAAGGCCGCAGCUCUUGGUGUAGGAGUUAUCAUCCAAGUAAUUUACCAGCCUGUGUAGAUCAGAGUUUACAAAGUUAGAGCAUCCCAUGGCAGGGAUCGAAAGUCUGGUCUUUCACAUUGUGCAGUAUACAGUACAGUGCCCUCUAGUGGGCGACACAGAUGUAGCCUCCCUUUCUUCCAUUGAGUGAGAACAUUUUUCAAUGGUUAGGGGACAUUUAGUAUUCACUAACCUUGAGUGGGAGGAGUUUCCCCAUAUUUUGCUUUACCCAGAAUGCUCCAGUAAGCCUCAGGAGAAUGGAUGCAUCGGAUAUACGUAAGAAAGUAAGGUAUUAGAAAGUAAAGUCAUUCGGAUAUUUGCAAGCCUGAAGCAGGGAAAAAGCUGUGAAUACUGUGACUUCAAAGUUAGCCUGGGCUACACUGACUUAUCCUGUCUAAAAGCAAAACACAGAGAAUGAACAAAAACAAAGGGAAAAGCCGUAUUUCAUUGUAUAGAUCAAGAAUUAAGACACGGGCUGGUGAGAUGGCUCUGAGUUCAAAUCCCAACAACCACAUGGUCGCUCACAACUAUCUGUAAUGGGGUCAGGUCCCCUCUUCUGGCUUGCAGGCAUACAUGUAUACAUAAUAAAUAAAUCUUUAAAAAAAUUAAGACACACAGUGACUCAAGCCAAGUUGUAGAGUCCUGUGGGGUGUGGGGGUGUAUGUGUAUGCAUGAGUGAGGCAUUCACACUUUCUGGAACACUGUAUACAUUUCAUGAGGCACCAUGGACCCGGAUUUAGACAGUCUCCUGACCUCUCUCAGCCUUUUCUUCUCUGCUUGUUUUUGUUUUUUGUUUGUUUAUUUGUAGACAGGGUUUCUCUGUGAAGUUCUGCCUGUCCUGGAACUUGCUUUGAAGACCAAGGAUCUCGGACUCUGAGAUCCGCCUGUCUCUGCCUCCUGAGUGCUGGGAUUAAAGACAUGCACCACUACCCCCACUCCCAACACGCCUUUUCUUCUCUGUAAAACGAAGAAAGGUUGUUGGAAGGAUUGUACAUGGCCUGGGUAAAAGAUCUAACAAGGCACCCACUCAACAAACGGUGGUUAUUAUUAACGACAGUCACACUGUGUUGUAAAAGACAAAGAGAAACAGGCACAAGGAGGCAAACCAGGAUUGUGAGGUGUUCUGGGGAGUCAGGCAUGCUGUGGCUGCAGAUUGGAGGGAAGGGAGAACACACCAGGUGGAGGGAGCAUCUGGAGCUGGGGGAGCACCUGGAGCUGGGGGAGCAUCUGGAGCUGGGGGAGCACCUGGAGCUGGGGGAGCAUCUGGAGCUGGGGGAACACCUGGAGCUGGGGGAGCACCUGGAGCUGGGGGAGCACCUGGAGCUGGGGGAGCAUCUGGAGCUGGGGGAGCACCUGGAGCUGGGGGAGCACCUGGAGCUGAGGGAGAACGUGGCCUCUCUUGCCAGCUUCACUGACAGCUAGUGAGGUUCCUUUUCUACCCAGCAUAUGUUUCCUUCUAAGCCUUGGACCCAGCCCAUUCCGGGAUCUCCAUAUGAAGGUCUUCAGAGGAGAGAAAAAAACUACAUAGGCUAUGUGUUGCUAACCACCAGACCAGACCUAUUUCAGCGACUUCUUUAAUGCAAACAUAUUUGGUAUUUAGACAAAGCCAAAAGCUAAAGGAAUGAGGCCAGCGGAAUUUCAAACAUCUGGAAACUGGGAUGGUGUCCCCCUGAGAGGACAUUUGUUCCAGGAGUCUCUGAAAUAGUGGGGUGGCCACAAGGACUAGGCUUUAGUCAGGAGAUGGGUCGCAGGGAUUUAGCUCCACACCCUAGGCUGGGUUUUAAGUAAACGAUAGGAAGAAGAAAAGAAAGGAGGGGUUGGGGAUAAGGAGAAGGUGACAGGAAGAUGGUGAAGGGGACAAAAAGAGGAAAGGAGGAGAGGGAGAGGGGAAUAAUAGAAUAUGAGUAAUGAGAGCCCAGUAUUGACGGAAACAAUAAUGGGGAUAGGUUUUUGUUAUUGUUGUUGUUGUUUUGUUUUGUUUUUUGUUUUUGGUUUUGGUUUUUCAAGACAAGGUUUCUCUGUGUAGCCCUGGCUGUCCUGGAACUCACUUUGUAGAGCAGGCUGGCCUCGGACUCAGAAAUCCGCCUGCCUCUGCCUCCCAAGUGCUGGGAUUAAGGGCGUGCGCCACCACACCUGGCUUUGGGGAUAGGUUUUUCCUCUGUGAUUUGUUACUGUAGGGCUGAGGCUCAAAGCCCUGGGCCUUGUACAUGUUGGGCAAAUACUUAACCACGGAACUACAUCCCUAGCCCUAAGUAUUAGGAUUUAGGUAAAAUAUUAGGUCUUAGGUGGAAUGUUAUGGCCUAGAUAAAAUGUUAAGGCCUGGGUAACUGUUACCUGGCUAGCCUGCCUUUAUAAGGAAAUUUUCUCAUAUGUUUCUGCUGUUACUAAGAAACCCUCUAAUGCCAAGAUUGAGUACAUAUUCUGUUACGUUCUGAGCCCUUGGAAACCGAUCCUGAUAGAAGACAGUAGAACUGUUUUGUAUCGUUACCUGUAAUAAGCUUGGACCUGAACCAACUCCCCAACAGCUCUUCCUGCAGCUGUGUAUAAGCUUUUAUGAUAUAAGCUGCCCCUAGGAUGGACCCCAAUAUAAGAGAGACACCUGCACUAAUUUAAGAAAUUAUUUGGAGUAAGAUUUUCAUUUUGAGUAGUGGUCGAGUAAAGUUUAAAUUCUCAAGACUUCCCUGGGAACUGACAUCCUACUUGGCAGAAAGAGACAUGUAUGUGGGUAACUGCCAUCCUGGUUGGCAAGUUAAUUACAUGAAUGUUAGACAAGUCCCAUCCUGGUAGACAAGUUAAAAUAUGAAUGUUAGACAAGGCAAGCCCCGCCCUUGAUUCAUGUCAAGUUAGGACAUGAAUAUUAGACAAGGCAAGUCCCCUGCCACAGUUCAAUACCCAACCAAUGGAAACAGGAUAAACAUACAACUAAGACAAGUUCCUUAGGAAAUCCCCUAUCCCUAAAUCCUGAUUGGUGAAAUAACUUGGCAUAGAUAUUUGUGGAUUUGGGGCUUAAAAAACCCUAUAGAAUCCUAACUCAGUGUCAUGGUUCAAUUCCCGAAUUUGGGGUGUAUGCCCAGUAAACUAUCCCUUUCUGACUGUCACUGUAUGGUUUGUGAGGUGAUUCCUGCACCCCAGCACUUAAGUUUUCAGAUGAAACAAAGGCUGAUCAAAGCCAAAGCUCAUGUCAGGUGUGGCAGUGGCCACCUUUAAUCCCAGCAUUGGAGGCAGAGACAGGUGGAUCUCUGAGUUUGAAGGUAGCCUUGCCUAUACAAUGAAUUCCAGGUCAAUUAAGGCUACACAGUGAAUGUAUGUCUCAAAAAGGGAGGAAAGAAAGAAGGGAUGAGGACUCACCCUUUCCCCGCUCUGUGACAGGCUGGCUAUUAUGUGAUUUAAUGUGGCUGCCCACAUUAAGAACUUCCAGUGUUCUCUUUACUUACCAAGUGCAGAUGGCACUAGGAAUACAAAGACGUGGGCCUCAUGUCCCCUAUGGCCCUCAGACAGCUGAUGGUUAAUGAUACCUUCAAUUUUUUUUUUUUUUUUGGUUUUUCGAGACAGGAUUUCUCUGUAUAGCUCUGGCUGUCCUGGAACUCACUUUGUAGACCAGGCUGGCCUUGAACUCAGAAAUCUGCCUGCCUCUGCCUCCUGAGUGCUGGGAUUAAAGGCAUGCGCCACCACGCCUGGCUACCUUCAAUUACUUUAACAGUUAACUAACUCAGCUCCUUCCAAAGCCUCGUCCCAAGUGAGGCCAGUGACUACAGAGUGAACUGAUGCUAUCCGUUCUGUUUAGCAAAAACUGAAGCCAUGUGGUUUAUAGGAAGCACCAUGGAGAUAGCUCCCGUCUGGUCACCCUCCCCGCACCCCAGUACAGUGGGAAACAGAUCAUUUCUAUUAACUAUGUAUGCACCAAGCUAGGUAGACAAGUUAAUCUCAUUGGGCACUCUGGAGGUAGAUACAUAAUUGUCUUGCCAGCUGGGAGUCUGAGCCAAACAGAAAGAGAACUUUGAUAGAGAUAUGUUGGGAGUUACAUCCAGACACAAGUACAGGGUCGGAACCUGGAAUCAAAUAAGAGUUUAAUGGACCACUGGUUGAUAUGACUGUGAAUUUAAGCGCAAGGCUGCACUCCUGGCAGUAUGAUGUUGCAGACACAGGAGUGACAGCCCACUGCAUUUUAUAGGAGCCAAGCCGUUACAUUAAGCACAGCUAUGUGCAGUGCUAGGCAUUAAAAGCUGGAUGAGGCUUUGAUGGAAAAAACAAUAGAAAUUUGCUGUCAGAGGAUUGUAAGCAGGAAGUGAUGAAGUUGGAGAGUCAUGUCUAAAGUACAGUUAGCACAAUUAUAGGUGAAAGUCAGCAGGACAGAAUACUACAGGGCAGUCUAACAUCUGUCUUCCCAAAUAUUUAAAAGAUGGCAAAAGAGCCAGGCUUGGAGGCCCAGGCCUGUAAUCCCAGUGACAAGGGGAGCUGAAGUAGGAAGCUCACACUGUCAAGGUUUGCUUGGACUAAUAGUGUGACCACAAGACCAGCAAGUUACUGGGCAAUUCAGUGAAAUUCCAUGUCAAAAUAAAGAGUGAAAAGAUGGCUGAGGCUAGACCUCAGUUGUAGGUCCCUUGGACAGCAUGCAUAAUCCUUCAACCCAGAGGGGAAAACAUUUACAAAAUGACAAUGAACAGGACUUCUUGUGUGGGAAGGCAGGGGGCAGCACCGGAUGUGUCUGAAGGGCUCCUCAUGGCUUUUGUGUCAAUCAGUGUGUGACUUGCUGACCUGUCUGUAGCUCACCUUACAUCCUGGCUCCAGAUCAGAGAGAGAGAGAUGAGUGACUUUGGUGAAAAGCCUGCAACCUCAGCUGAGUGAACAUCCCCGCCCCCCACUUUACGGUGCUGCCAGCCCAUGACCAGAGUUAAAUGAGACUCUUGUGAGUUCUUAGCCUCCAAACUUAUUGCGGCGUCAGGGUUCAUGGAUGUCCACGAGCAAAGCAGCUAAAUGAACCUUAUAAGUUCAAUGGCACAUUAUCCGAUGCUACAUUUCACCGGCACCUCCUCUGGACCAGUACCUAUGGGUACCAAUUUUUUUUUUAACCAUACUCAACAUGAUUUUCUAUGUCUAUGUGUGCAAGGGGGAGGGGUAUGUGUACCUGUGGUAUUCAUGGGUUUGAGUGGAUGUGGAAGUGGAAAAUCAACCCUUUUUCUUUUUCCCCCAGUGUCUCUCACUGGCCCGGAACUCACCCAGUAGGCUAGAUUGGCAGUUUAAUAACCCUGAGGUACCUGCCUGUUUCUACCUCUCCAGCCCUGGAAUUACAAGAGUGUGUAUGCCAUUGUACCCAGCUUUGUUGGUUUGUGUUUUUCAUGACUGCUAGGGACUGAACUCAGAUCCUCACAUUUGAAUGGCAAGCACUUUAUCCACUGAGCCAUCUCUUCGGCCCCAUCAUGAUCUUUUAAAAUAAAAACUUGAUGUGCCAUUUAUAUUUGUGAAUUCUUCAUAUGGGAAAAAGGGCUUCUUUAGAUUAAAAAAAAAAAAAAAA
This is a long non-coding RNA of Mus musculus (house mouse), 9966 nucleotides long. RefSeq annotates it as predicted gene, 48293. The record is from RefSeq and is a predicted model, not a curated record. The transcript is spliced from 3 exons. NCBI's taxonomy places the organism in Eukaryota, Metazoa, Chordata, Mammalia, Rodentia, Muridae.